AACGAACGCUGGCGGCAGGCCUAACACAUGCAAGUCGAGCGAGGACUUCGGUUCUAGCGGCGGACGGGUGAGUAACGCGUGGGAAUGUGCCCUUCUCUACGGUAUAGCCCUGGGAAACUGGGAGUAAUACCGUAUACGCCCUAUUGGGGAAAGAUUUAUCGGAGAAGGAUCAGCCCGCGUUGGAUUAGGUAGUUGGUGGGGUAAUGGCCUACCAAGCCGACGAUCCAUAGCUGGUUUGAGAGGAUGAUCAGCCACACUGGGACUGAGACACGGCCCAGACUCCUACGGGAGGCAGCAGUGGGGAAUCUUAGACAAUGGGGGCAACCCUGAUCUAACCAUGCCGCGUGAGUGAUGAAGGCCUUAGGGUUGUAAAGCUCUUUCAGCUGGGAAGAUAAUGACGGUACCAGCAGAAGAAGCCCCGGCUAACUCCGUG
RNAcentral lists this ribosomal RNA (433 nucleotides) under uncultured bacterium. RNAcentral describes it as "partial 16S ribosomal RNA". It matches the Rfam family "Bacterial small subunit ribosomal RNA", at positions 29 to 507 of the family's 1533-position model. The record is from RNAcentral.